This 235-nucleotide ribosomal RNA is filed under the name uncultured Candidatus Saccharibacteria bacterium. RNAcentral describes it as "partial 16S ribosomal RNA". It matches the Rfam family "Bacterial small subunit ribosomal RNA", at positions 584 to 818 of the family's 1533-position model. Lineage: Bacteria; Candidatus Saccharimonadota. The record is from RNAcentral.
AAAGCGAAUAGUGAAAUCUGGGGGCUCAACCUCACAGACUAUCAUUCGAACUCACUGACUCGAGAAUGGUAGAGGUAACUGGAAUUUCUUGUGUAGGAGUGAAAUCCGUAGAUAUAAGAAGGAACACCAAUGGCGUAGGCAGGUUGCUGGACCAUUUCUGACACUGAGGCACGAAAGCGUGGGAGCGAACCGGAUUAGAUACCCGGGUAGUCCACGCCGUAAACUAUGGAUACUA